Molecule: long non-coding RNA, 275 nt
Organism: Lolium rigidum
Lineage: Eukaryota; Viridiplantae; Streptophyta; Magnoliopsida; Poales; Poaceae
Exons: 2
Source: RefSeq, a predicted model, not a curated record
UCGGAGUCGGCAGCCGCCGCCCUCGUCUCCCGCGGGAUCGGACGCAAUUCGUCAAGGUUCCAAGUGAUCAGAAGCUACCAUCUCUUUAUCCGCUCGACAGUAUAGUCAAGAAUAUUGGAAAAUAUUAUCACUGUAUUGAACAGUUAUUGCUUGACAAUAUAGUCUCUCCAUACUUUUUCUUACUCCUGGAUAAGUUUCUCUUUAUGAAUGUACACGUGAGUUCUUGUGAUAAACCAUAUUCAUGACAAAGAUAAUGAACCAGUUUAUUUUUAUGA